Molecule: ribosomal RNA, 1318 nt
Filed under: uncultured bacterium
Lineage: Bacteria
Description: bacterial SSU rRNA
Rfam family: Bacterial small subunit ribosomal RNA
Source: RNAcentral
GCUUAAUACAUGCAAGUCGAACGGGAUGCAGCAAUGUGUCUAGUGGCGACCGGGUGCGUAACACGUAGCUGACCUGCCCCUCGGCGGGGGACAACAGUACGAAAGUGCUGCUAAUACCGCAUACCUUGGGAGCGUUUAGAAGGCUCUCAAGAAACUUUAGGGGCCGAGGGAGGGGGCUGCGGCCCAUCAGGUAGUUGGGGAGGUAACGGCUCCCCAAGCCAACGACGGGUCGGGGGCCUGAGAGGGUGGCCCCCCACACUGGGACUGACAGACGGCCCAGACUCCUACGGGAGGCAGCAGUAAGGGAUAUUGCGCAAUGGGCGAAAGCCUGACGCAGCAACGCCGCGUGCAGGAUGACGGCCUUCGGGUCGUAAACUGCUUUGGCGCGGGACGAGGAAGGACGGUACCGCGCGAACAAGUCACGGCUAACUACGUGCCAGCAGCCGCGGUAAAACGUAGGUGGCAAGCGUUAUCCGGAUUUACUGGGCGUAAAGGGUGUGCAGGCGGCUGCCCAAGUGGUGUAUGAAAUCGCUCGGCUCAACCGGGCGCGGGUAUGCCAGACUGGGUGGCUCGAGGCUGACAGAGGGUGGUGGAAUUCCGGGUGUAGUGGUGAAAUGCGUAGAGAUCCGGAGGAACCCCAGAGGCGAAGGCGGCCACCUGGGUCAGCCCUGACGCUCAGACACGACAGCAUGGGGAGCGAACGGGAUUAGAAACCCCGGUAGUCCAUGCCGUAAACGAUGCCAACUAGGCGCUGGCGGUCUCAACCCCGUCGGUGCCGCAGAUAACUCGCUAAGUUGGCCGCCUGGGGAGUACGGCCGCAAGGCUAAAACUCAAAGGAAUUGACGGGGGCCCGCACAAGCAGCGGAGCGUGUGGUUUAAUUCGAGGCUACACGAAGAACCUUACCUGGGUUUGACAUGACGCUAGUAGCGACCUGAAAGGGAAGCGACCGCAAGGCGGCGUCACUGGUGCUGCAUGGCUGUCGUCAGCUCGUGCCGUGAGGUGUUAGGUUAAGUCCUGUAACGAGCGCAACCCCCAGGUUCAGUUACAGGUUGUCUGAACCGACUGCCCGUGACAAGCGGGAGGAAGGUGGGGAUGACGUCAAGUCAGCAUGGCCUGUAUAUCCAGGGCUACACACACGCUACAAUGGCCGGUACAAUGGGUCGCCAAGCCGCAAGGCGGAGCCAAUCCAGCUAAAGCCGGUCUCAGUUCGGAUUGUGGGCUGCAACCCGCCCGCAUGAAGUCGGAGUUGCUAGUAACCGCCGGUCAGCCAUACGGCGGUGAAUACGUUCCCGGGCCUUGCACACACCGCCCGUCACA